This 794-nucleotide long non-coding RNA is filed under the name Rhinopithecus bieti (black snub-nosed monkey). Its description in RNAcentral is "lncRNA (ENSRBIG00000045536.1)". The record is from RNAcentral. Lineage: Eukaryota; Metazoa; Chordata; Mammalia; Primates; Cercopithecidae.
CUUUUUUUUUCCAGUCAGUUUUUUCUUUGAUCUAUAGAACUCGCUUCUUUUCUCUGAAGUUUUCACAAUACAGCGUGAUAGAAGGAGCACAGUGCCAGAGGCAGGGAACUCCUAUGCUUCACCAGUGACUCAUAAGAAAACUUAAUAGAAAGUCUCUACUGCCCACUGGCCCUGCAGUACCUGAUUGAUGUGGUCCCAAAGUAAAGUAGGCUAACCUUCAUUGAACCAAGCACUGCAGAGGCAUGGGAAGAAGUAUGGGAGAAGGAGUCCUAGUACUCUGGCAAUGAGGAAAUAUGAAUAUCUCUGAUGAAAUGAGACAAUGUCUAUGGGAAGCUGGUAUCUCCAAGAAGGUACUCAUCAUAAAAAGAGUGAGGACAUAUACCUUUAAUUUAAUAUGCAGCAGAGACAAGACUUUACUUCAAACCCAAGUGCUCUAGCACUAUGCAUAUUUUGAAAAUAGUGACUAAGCACAUACAAGUAAAAGAAAAAAUUGCAUUCAUGGAAUCCUACUCUAAUGGAGAAGUUAACCAAGAAAAGAGGAAGCCUGAUUUGGGCCAGAUGACUUAUAUUGAAAUAGAGAAGAUACUUAGUGAAAUCAAACAACAUAAUUGAACUUGUUUUGCUGUCAUGAAGGGAACAUUCCAAAGAACUGUCCAAUCUGGUUGGAUAGUCAGUGCUUGUCAGUCUGGGUAAGUUCUCUGUGAAGAUAUUAUUAUUUUACAAAUGAACCCGCAUUUACAUUCUUACUUUUAUAAGCUAUUAAUUAUUGUACAUGUAAUAACAUUUAAGGCAUU